RNAcentral lists this ribosomal RNA (498 nucleotides) under uncultured bacterium. Its description in RNAcentral is "partial 16S ribosomal RNA". It matches the Rfam family "Bacterial small subunit ribosomal RNA", at positions 29 to 507 of the family's 1533-position model. The record is from RNAcentral.
ACGAACGCUGGCGGCGUGCUUAACACAUGCAAGUCGAACGGGCCUGUCUUCUUUUUUGGGGGUGGGUUGAGUGGCGAACGGGUGAGUAUCACGUGAGUAACCUGCCCUUCGGUCCUGGAUAACCGCUUGAAAGGGCGGCUAAUACGGGGUGGUCCGGUUGGUCCGCAUGGGCUGGUCGGGAUAGAUUCACUGUUUUUGGUGUUUCGGCGGGGGAUGGGCUCGCGGCCUAUCAGCUUGUUGGUGGGGUGAUGGCCUACCAAGGCGGUGACGGGUAGCCGGCCUGAGAGGGUGGGCGGCCACACUGGGACUGAGAUACGGCCCAGACUCCUGCGGGAGGCAGCAGUGGGGGGUAUUGCACAAUGGGCGGAAGCCUGAUGCAGCGACGUCGCGUGAGGGAGGGAGGCCUUCGGGUUGUGAACCUCUGUUUCCGGUGGUGAAGGCCCUGUCCGUGUGGUGGGGUUGACGGUAGCCGGGGAUGAAGCGCCGGCUAACUACGUG